Molecule: transfer RNA, 85 nt
Filed under: Thermodesulfatator atlanticus
Lineage: Bacteria; Pseudomonadati; Thermodesulfobacteriota; Thermodesulfobacteria; Thermodesulfobacteriales; Thermodesulfatatoraceae
Description: tRNA-Tyr
Rfam family: tRNA
About the family: Transfer RNA (tRNA) molecules are approximately 80 nucleotides in length. Their secondary structure includes four short double-helical elements and three loops (D, anti-codon, and T loops).
Source: RNAcentral
GGAGAGGUUCCCGAGUGGUCAAAGGGGUCGGGCUGUAAACCCGAUGGCUCAGCCUUCGGAGGUUCGAAUCCUCCCCUCUCCACCA